ACGGGAGGCAGCAGUGGGGGAUAUUGCACAAUGGGGGAAACCCUGAUGCAGCGACGCCGCGUGAGUGAAGAAGUAUUUCGGUAUGUAAAGCUCUAUCAGCAGGGAAGAAAUCAUGACGGUACCUGACUAAGAAGCCCCGGCUAACUACGUGCCAGCAGCCGCGGUAAUACGUAGGGGGCAAGCGUUAUCCGGAUUUACUGGGUGUAAAGGGAGCGCAGACGGUUUUGCAAGUCAGAAGUGAAAACCCAGGGCUCAACCUUGGGAUUGCUUUUGAAACUGUAGGACUUGAGUGCCGGAGAGGUAAGCGGAAUUCCUAGUGUAGCGGUGAAAUGCGUAGAUAUUAGGAGGAACACCAGUGGCGAAGGCGGCUUACUGGACGGUAACUGACGUUGAGGCUCGAAAGCGUGGGGAGCAAACAGGAUUAGAUACCCUGGUA
RNAcentral lists this ribosomal RNA (436 nucleotides) under uncultured Lachnospiraceae bacterium. RNAcentral describes it as "partial 16S ribosomal RNA". It matches the Rfam family "Bacterial small subunit ribosomal RNA", at positions 341 to 792 of the family's 1533-position model. Lineage: Bacteria; Bacillati; Bacillota; Clostridia; Lachnospirales; Lachnospiraceae. The record is from RNAcentral.